RNAcentral lists this ribosomal RNA (664 nucleotides) under uncultured bacterium. RNAcentral's name for it is "bacterial SSU rRNA". It matches the Rfam family "Bacterial small subunit ribosomal RNA", at positions 196 to 863 of the family's 1533-position model. The record is from RNAcentral.
AAGAUUUAAAGCUUUGGUGGAUACGGAUUGGCUCGCGUGACAUUAGUUAGAUGGUAAGGUAACGGCUUACCAUGACUAUGAUGUCUAGGGGUUCUGAGAGGAAGGUCCCCCACACUGGAACUGAGACACGGUCCAGACUCCUACGGGAGGCAGCAGUGAGGAAUAUUGGACAAUGGAUGGAAAUCUGAUCCAGCCAUGCCGCGUGCAAGAUGAAGGUCCUAUGGAUUGUAAACUGCUUUUGUAUGGGAGCAAUAAGGUCUUCGUGAAGGCCGAUGAGAGUACCAUACGAAUAAGCACCGGCUAACUCCGUGCCAGCAGCCGCGGUAAUACGGAGGGUGCAAGCGUUAUCCGGAUUUAUUGGGUUUAAAGGGUGCGUAGGCGGUGAUAUAAGUCAGCGGUGAAAGUUUUCAGCUCAACUGGAAAAAUGCCGUUGAUACUGUAUCGCUGGAAUAUGGUUGCUGUGAGUGGAAUGUGUAGUGUAGCGGUGAAAUGCUUAGAGAUUACACAGAAUAUCGAUUGCGAAGGCAGCUCACAAAGCCAUUAUUGACGCUGAGGCACGAAAGUGUGGGGAUCAAACAGGAUUAGAUACCCUGGUAGUCCACACGGUAAACGAUGUGCACUAGGUGCUGGGGCGGAUGCCUCAGUGCCGUAGCUAACGUGAUAA